CUUAUUACAGUAACCCGGCUCCUGAGUGCCUUAUUACCCUGUAACAUCUUAUUACAGUAACCCGGCUCCUGAGUGCCUUAUUACCCUGUAUUAUUAUUACCGUGUAACAUCUUAUUACAGUAACCCGACUCCUGAGCGCCUUAUUACAGUAACCCGGCUCCUGAGCGCCUUAUUACCCUGUAACAUCUUAUUACAGUAACCCGGCUCCUGACUGCCUUAUUACCCUGUAACGUCUUAUUACAGUAACCCGGCUCCUGAGCGCCUUAUUACCCUGUAACAUCUUAUUACAGUAACCCGGCUCCUGACUGCCUUAUUACCCUGUAACGUCUUAUUACAGUAACCCGGCUCC
Molecule: non-coding RNA, 349 nt
Organism: Pelobates cultripes (western spadefoot toad)
Lineage: Eukaryota; Metazoa; Chordata; Amphibia; Anura; Pelobatidae
Source: the annotation of a GenBank genome assembly